AGCAGCCGCGGUAAUUCCAGCUCCAAUAGCGUAUAUUAAAGUUGUUGCAGUUAAAAAGCUCGUAGUUGAAUUUCGGGGUUAGUAGGCUGGUCAUGCCUCUGGUAUGUACUGGUCUCACUGAUUCCUCCUUCCUGAUGAACCGUAAUGCCAUUAAUUUGGUGUUGUGGGGAAUUUGGACUGUUACUUUGAAAAAAUUAGAGUGUUUAAAGCAAGCUAACGCUUGAAUACAUUAGCAUGGAAUAAUGAAAUAGGACGUUCGAUCCUAUUUUGUUGGUUUCUAGGAUUGACGUAAUGAUUAAUAGGGAUAGUUGGGGGCAUUAGUAUUCAAUUGUCAGAGGUGAAAUUCUUGGAUUUAUUGAAGACUAACUACUGCGAAAGCAUUUGCCAAGGAUGUUUUCAUUAAUCAAGAACGAAAGUUAGGGGAUCGAAGACGAUCAGAUACCGUCGUAGUCUUAACCAUAAACUAUGCCGACUAGGGAUCGGAUGAUGUUAAUUUUUUAAUGACUC
Molecule: ribosomal RNA, 507 nt
Filed under: uncultured Glomeromycotina
Lineage: Eukaryota; Fungi; Glomeromycota
Description: SSU rRNA
Rfam family: Eukaryotic small subunit ribosomal RNA
Source: RNAcentral